GUCGCUUAACCAACUGAGCCACCCAGGCGCCCCUGUUCUUAUCAGUUUAAUAUCUGAUAUGAGUCCUCUGUCUGAGGACAACAUGUUAAAUGGAUUUUUGGAACUAGAAGAUGGAGUAUGAGCUUGCUCCAUCCAUCCUAUGCAACAACCUGGAAUUGCAGUACUACCAAGAACAGUGCACCUCCC
This is a small nuclear RNA of Mirounga angustirostris (Northern elephant seal), 186 nucleotides long. RefSeq annotates it as U2 spliceosomal RNA. The transcript has a single exon. NCBI's taxonomy places the organism in Eukaryota, Metazoa, Chordata, Mammalia, Carnivora, Phocidae. The record is from RefSeq and is a predicted model, not a curated record.